This 2162-nucleotide long non-coding RNA is filed under the name Homo sapiens (human). Its description in RNAcentral is "non-protein coding TRAM2-AS1:23". The record is from RNAcentral. Lineage: Eukaryota; Metazoa; Chordata; Mammalia; Primates; Hominidae.
GGGCUUAACCCUCUAGCCGCUGGGCACGCGCGGGCUACCGGGGCGGAGGCGUACGGGGGCGGCGAGCGGGGCUCGGCUCCUCCUCGUCCCGCGCCAGCGCCGCGCCCGGCCGCAUUCUCGGGGCCCGAGGCUCAGCCGCUCGCGGUGGAGAAAGCAGGCCGCGGAGGAGGCGGGCGCCCAGGCCUGCCCGGACAGGAAGUGGGCCCAGCUUUCCCACUCCUCGCUCCGCUCCUUCCUCCGCGGGAAGGGCAGGCCCCGGAGGCAGCGAGCGCCCCGGGGGUGGCCGGGCAGCCGGAUGCUCCCGGGGUUGCGGGCUGUGGCCCCGGGGGCUGAGGGCGGCGCGGGUGCGGCGGAAGCAGGGAAGCCGCGAACCGGCCUUCUGGCUGGCCACAGCGCCCUGCACGGACGAUCAGUGAAUGGAGAUUACUCAAGUAUUUAUCGAGAACUUGCAGUGGGCUAGGCACAGUUCAGAAAGAUCAAGAACUCUGAAGCACCUCGACUUUCCACCUGUGAAGAUGUGUUCAAAUUUGCAACGUGCGGCCACACCUAUGAGGUUGAACUUUAUACAAUUGGUUUCUUUAUAGGUUUAGAUGGUUGAAUUUAAGUUACCCCCACUGCUAUUAUUAUUAUUUUGAGACAGAGUCUUAACUCUGUUGCCCAGGCAGGAGUGCAGUGGCGAGAUCUGGACUCACUGCAACCUCUGCCUCCUGGCUUCAAGCAAUUCUCAUGCUUCAGCCUGUAGCUGGAACUACAGGUCACUCCCUCUGGAGGAAACCAGCUGCCACUUUGUGAGGAUACUCAUAGUCCUGUGGAGGCAUAUCCUCCAUAUGGCUGAGACCUCCUGCGAACAACCAUCACUGACUUGCCAGACAUGAGUGUGCCACCUUGGAAGCAGAUUUUCCAGCCCCAGUUAAGCCUUCAGAUGACAUCAGCCCCUGCUAAUCUCUUGACUACAACCUCAUGAGAGACCCUGAGCCAGAACUAGCCAGGCUUACCCCUCAUGGUUACAAAGUGGCUGCAACAGCUCCAGGUGUUCUAUCCUUUAACACAGAAUAACUCAAACAACAAGACCCAAUAUUCAGACAAGAAGGAAAGGGACUUUUGGAGAGUGAAGAAAACUUUCCUAGAAACCUCAAACUUCUCCCCAUGCCUUAUUGGCCAGAUUGUAUCCCAUGCCCAUUUCUAAACCAAUCAUUGGCAAAGUGAGUGGAAUUGACGUGAUUAGAUUAACUUUACCAAGAAUGCAUCCUCAGAGAGGCUGAGAAAAAGUCCAGCCUCCUUUGAAGAGCCUGGCUACCUUUCACCUGAACAAAACAAGAAUUCUGAUGAAAAAUGGAGAAUGUAUGUGGAGCAGGCACCCGGAGUGUCUAUGCCAGGAUUUUUUUUCAGUGCGUUUCACCGGUUAUAUUUUUGUCUCUUUACCUUACAAGAUAUGUGGCACGUUUGCCUAAAACAAGCCUUGCUUUCUGAUUUCUGUGCACUAGGCACUUAAACCUUGCAAAUGUCGCUUACCUAACAGUCACUGUCAAGGAGUACCUGGCUAAAGAAUCUCCAGCUAGACAAAGUAGAAGUGUCUGUGCUCUGGCAGUUGAAUAUAUUGUAUCAGGCUCAACAGCACCUUUCACCAAAGGAUGAGACUUCACAACCAUUAGAUCUUCUUUUAUUUUGUUUUUAUUAAAAAAAAAAAUUUUAACACACCAUUGCUAACUUGAAGCCAUUAGAUCUUCUUACCCCCAAUACCACAAAAGUUUAGUGGAAUCAGGGGUAUACCAAGGCAGGUGGAGUAGGGGAGCUGGGAGUGGUCAGCCCCCAGGGCAGGCAAUGAGGGAUUGUGAAUCUGUGAAGAAUUUUAAAGCAAUGAUACAGCUCUAAAUGCAAUGUACUAUCCUGGACUUAGCCCUGGAAAAGAAAAAAGAUAUUAGUGGAAAAACUGGUAAAAUUCAAAUAAUGUCUGUAGUUUGGUUAAUAGUAUUAUACCAAUGUUAAUUUCUGUGUUUUGAUAAAUGUACCAUGGUUAUGUAAGCUGGAUGAAAGAUAUGUGGGAAAUCUCUCUACUAUUUCUGCAACUCUCCUGUAAACCUAAAAAUGUUUCAAAAUAAAAGAUUUAAUGCUAAAAUUGACUGAAAAUUGAUCUGCUUUUUUAUUAUCACCAUGCACUGCAC